ACUGCUCAGUAACACGUGGAUAACCUACCCAAGAGUCCGGGAUAACCCCGGGAAACUGGGGAUAAUACCGAAUAGAUCAUCCUUCCUGGAAUGGUGGGUGGUUGAAACUUCCGGGGCUUUUGGAUGGGUCUGCGGCUGAUUAGGUUGUUGCCGGUGUAACGUACCGUCAAGCCUGUAAUCAGUACGGGUUGUGGGAGCAAGAGCCCGGAGAUGGAUUCUGAGACACGAAUCCAGGCCCUACGGGGCGCAGCAGGCGCGAAAACUCUACAAUGCAGGCAACUGCGAUAGGGGAACAUCGAGUGAUCCUCAUAUUUGGGGUCUGUCCACCCGCCUAAAAAGCGGGUGUUAGCAAGGGCCGGGCAAGACCGGUGCCAGCCGCCGCGGUAAUACCGGCGGCUCGAGUGGUGGCCGAUAUUAUUGAGUCUAAAGGGUCCGUAGCCGGCUUUGCAAGUCUCUCGGGAAAUCCAGCGGCUUAACCGUUGGUCGUCCGGGGGGUACUACAUUGCUUGGGACUGGGAGAGGUAGGAGGUACUCAAGGGGUAGGAGUGAAAUCCUGUAAUCCUUUGGGGACCACCGGUGGCGAAGGCGUCCUACCAGAACAGGUCCGACGGUGAGGGACGAAAGCUAGGGGCACGAACCGGAUUAAAUACCCGGGUAGUCCUAGCCGUAAACGAUGCUCACUAGGUGUCACAACAGUCGUGAACUGUUGUGGUGCCGUAGGGAAGCCGUGAAGCGAGCCACUUGGGAAGUACGACCGCAAGGUUGAAACUUAAAGGAAUUGGCGGGGGAGCAC
Molecule: ribosomal RNA, 793 nt
Filed under: uncultured archaeon
Lineage: Archaea
Description: bacterial SSU rRNA
Rfam family: Archaeal small subunit ribosomal RNA
Source: RNAcentral